ACAGCAGUCGCCACGGGAAUACGUAGGGUGUAAGCGUUAAUCGGAAUUACUGGGCGUAAAGCGUGCGCAGGCGGUUCGUUAAGACAGAUGUGAAAUCCCCGGGCUUAACCUGGGAACUGCAUUUGUGACUGGCGGGCUAGAGUAUGGCAGAGGGGGGUAGAAUUCCACGUGUAGCAGUGAAAUGCGUAGAGAUGUGGAGGAAUACCGAUGGCGAAGGCAGCCCCCUGGGCCAAUACUGACGCUCAUGCACGAAAGCGUGGGGAGCAAACAGGAUUAGAUACCCCCGUAGUCCCUGUCUCUUAUAC
This 305-nucleotide ribosomal RNA is filed under the name uncultured bacterium. RNAcentral describes it as "partial 16S ribosomal RNA". It matches the Rfam family "Bacterial small subunit ribosomal RNA", at positions 505 to 807 of the family's 1533-position model. The record is from RNAcentral.